RNAcentral lists this ribosomal RNA (98 nucleotides) under Serratia fonticola. Its description in RNAcentral is "partial 23S ribosomal RNA". It matches the Rfam family "Bacterial large subunit ribosomal RNA", at positions 2828 to 2925 of the family's 2925-position model. Lineage: Bacteria; Pseudomonadati; Pseudomonadota; Gammaproteobacteria; Enterobacterales; Yersiniaceae. The record is from RNAcentral.
UGAAGGAACGUUUAAGACUAAGACGUUGAUAGGCUGGGUGUGUAAGUGCAGCGAUGCAUUGAGCUAACCAGUACUAAUGAUCCGUGAGGCUUAACCUU